This 116-nucleotide ribosomal RNA is filed under the name Labrus bergylta (ballan wrasse). Lineage: Eukaryota; Metazoa; Chordata; Actinopteri; Labriformes; Labridae. The record is from RNAcentral.
GCUUACGGCCAUACCACCCUGAACACGCCGAUCGUCCGAUCUCGGAAGCUAAGCAGGGUCGGGCCUGGUUAGUACUUGGAUGGGAGACCGCCUGGGAAUACCAGGUGCUGUAAGUU